ACCGACAGGCUACCAUUUGAAGAUGAAGAAAAUAUGUAUGCUAAUUGGAAAUGGUUCAAGUUUGAUAGGGAUAAUGUAAACAUGGAAUAACCCUCAUCACUAAAAAUGUAUCGAACUGUAUAUCCUUUCGGCACGUCUUUAGGUCAUUAGAUAGCAUCCAUGACAAAGUACCAUUGUUCAAAAUCCCAGUUAUGUUCUUUACUGAACUG
This 209-nucleotide unclassified non-coding RNA is filed under the name Hevea brasiliensis (rubber tree). The record is from RNAcentral. Lineage: Eukaryota; Viridiplantae; Streptophyta; Magnoliopsida; Malpighiales; Euphorbiaceae.